Molecule: long non-coding RNA, 460 nt
Organism: Raphanus sativus (radish)
Lineage: Eukaryota; Viridiplantae; Streptophyta; Magnoliopsida; Brassicales; Brassicaceae
Exons: 4
Source: RefSeq, a predicted model, not a curated record
UUAUGUGCUGCGUUUAGACAACUUUAGUGGGGACCUUUGGUCGUCACUGUAGACUUAUCGUCUCCUUCGUCUCCCGAUAUCAGAGAAACGGAACCAUCAGAUUUGAUCAUCUCAUCAAUCGAUCAACCACGAUGUAGAAUCAAUGCGGGAUUUAAUUGCGUCUGGCGAUGGAGACGACUAUAUAAGAAGGCCGGCCGAUCCUCCUCCACCGUCGAAGUGUGCUUGCUCCGCUUCUGGGAGGCGAAAAAGUCCGCCGUGGUGGAGAGCUCAUGGGCGUCGACAUGCUUUUGGUUGAUUCUCAGGGUUCAUCACGAAGGAUAAGCUAAAGGAAGUGAUGAAAUCGAUGGCAGAACUUUGGGAGAUGAUGAUCGGUAUCUACAUUGAUGGCAAUGGAGACAUCUAUAAUGGCUUCAAAACACCUCUCAGGAAUCAGCAUGGAAUGAACUAAUAGAAAUAUCCC